Molecule: ribosomal RNA, 301 nt
Filed under: uncultured bacterium
Lineage: Bacteria
Description: partial 16S ribosomal RNA
Rfam family: Bacterial small subunit ribosomal RNA
Source: RNAcentral
CAGCCGCGGUAAUACAGAGGGUGCGAGCGUUAAUCGGAUUUACUGGGCGUAAAGCGUGCGUAGGCGGCUUUUUAAGUCGGAUGUGAAAUCCCUGAGCUUAACUUAGGAAUUGCAUUCGAUACUGGGAAGCUAGAGUAUGGGAGAGGAUGGUAGAAUUCCAGGUGUAGCGGUGAAAUGCGUAGAGAUCUGGAGGAAUACCGAUGGCGAAGGCAGCCAUCUGGCCUAAUACUGACGCUGAGGUACGAAAGCAUGGGGAGCAAACAGGAUUAGAUACCCCGGUAGUCCCUGUCUCUUAUACACU